This 425-nucleotide ribosomal RNA is filed under the name uncultured bacterium. RNAcentral describes it as "partial 16S ribosomal RNA". It matches the Rfam family "Bacterial small subunit ribosomal RNA", at positions 354 to 796 of the family's 1533-position model. The record is from RNAcentral.
GUAGGGAAUAUUGGACAAUGGGCGAAAGCCUGAUCCAGCAAUGCCGCGUGAGUGAUGAAGGCCUUAGGGUUGUAAAGCUCUUUUACCAGGGAUGAUAAUGACAGUACCUGGAGAAUAAGCUCCGGCUAACUCCGUGCCAGCAGCCGCGGUAAUACGGAGGGAGCUAGCGUGGGUCGGAAUUACUGGGCGUAAAGCGCGCGUAGGCGGCGAUUGAAGUCAGAGGUGAAAGCCCGGGGCUCAACCCCGGAAUAGCCUUUGAGACUGGAUUGCUAGAAUCCUGGAGAGGUGAGUGGAAUUCCGAGUGUAGAGGUGAAAUUCGUAGAUAUUCGGAGGAACACCAGUGGCGAAGGCGGCUCACUGGCUCGAUACUGACGCUGAGGUGCGAAAGCGUGGGGAGCAAACAGGAUUAGAAACCCUGGUAGUCC